This 289-nucleotide ribosomal RNA is filed under the name uncultured bacterium. RNAcentral describes it as "partial 16S ribosomal RNA". It matches the Rfam family "Bacterial small subunit ribosomal RNA", at positions 337 to 618 of the family's 1533-position model. The record is from RNAcentral.
ACCUACGGGGGGCAGCAGUAGGGAAUCUUCCACAAUGGACGAAAGUCUGAUGGAGCAACGCCGCGUGAGUGAAGAAGGGUUUCGGCUCGUAAAGCUCUGUUGGUAGUGAAGAAAGAUAGAGGUAGUAACUGGCCUUUAUUUGACGGUAAUUACUUAGAAAGUCACGGCUAACUACGUGCCAGCAGCCGCGGUAAUACGUAGGUGGCAAGCGUUGUCCGGAUUUAUUGGGCGUAAAGCGAGUGCAGGCGGUUUAAUAAGUCUGAUGUGAAAGAAUUUGGGUGAAAAGGAG